CAGGCGUUUCCGGGCUUCGUUGCUCGCCUUCCUUUUCCGAAAGAAGAGCGGCAUCUUGACUCCUGUCUCCAUUUAUCCCAGUUCAGCAGGAUGGCGAUUGGAAUCUGAAUAGCAGGAAGAUCAAGAAUCCAUCCCAGUUGCUGCUGGGCACAAAUCCCCAUCAGCCCCAGCCUCCAAGCAGAAUGAUCAGGGAAGGUGAGGUGUAGGACAAAAACUCUGGAAGGUAAGCGGAGGAGAAGACUGGCUGAUUGCCAACGGAAAUGAAGAUGAGUCAUUAAGACAGGGAUAUCCUCUGGAAGAUGCCAAGUACGAGUUCUCUCGUCGGAGCCCUGAUGAAGUUACUCCGCUGGGUAAUGAAAAGUCUUCAAGAAAACCAGAAUGGACCCAGAGUCCUUCUCCUCUUCCUUCUCCCCUCCCCUCUAGCACUGAUGAUGCUACUUAGUUGGGUAAUGAAAUGUCUGUAAGAAAACCACCAAGGAUCCCACCACCCUCCUCCUUCAUUUAGGAAGCUUCACUCCUUCUAGGUAGCACUGAUGAUUCGACCUAGUUUGGGUCAUAAAACACGUGCAAGAAAACCAAGCUUGGAGACCACCAAAGACCCCACCAUUCUCUCAUUAAAUUAUCCUCGUGCUUAAGACCUUCUUCGUACCAUUAGUAGCACAUGAUUUAGAGACAGUCAUGGUUCAUCAACAAAGUAAUAUGGGUGGCCAGGCCCAAUCCAGAAAAA
Molecule: long non-coding RNA, 727 nt
Organism: Crotalus tigris (Tiger rattlesnake)
Lineage: Eukaryota; Metazoa; Chordata; Lepidosauria; Squamata; Viperidae
Exons: 2
Source: RefSeq, a predicted model, not a curated record